RNAcentral lists this ribosomal RNA (254 nucleotides) under uncultured bacterium. RNAcentral describes it as "partial 16S ribosomal RNA". It matches the Rfam family "Bacterial small subunit ribosomal RNA", at positions 526 to 779 of the family's 1533-position model. The record is from RNAcentral.
CGUAGGGGCAAGCGUUAUCCGGAUUUACUGGGUGUAAAGGGAGCGUAGACGGACUGGCAAGUCUGAUGUGAAAACCCGGGGCUCAACCCCGGGACUGCAUUGGAAACUGUCAGUCUAGAGUGUCGGAGGGGUAAGUGGAAUUCCUAGUGUAGCGGUGAAAUGCGUAGAUAUUAGGAGGAACACCAGUGGCGAAGGCGGCUUACUGGACGAUAACUGACGUUGAGGCUCGAAAGCGUGGGGAGCAAAACAGGAUU